GACGAACGCUGGCGGCGUGCCUAACACAUGCAAGUCGAGCGGGGUUGAAGCGAGAGGUAACUCGAACUUCUACCUAGCGGCGGACGGGUGAGUAACGCGUGGGCAACCUGCCUCAAGGUCUGGGAUAACAGCCCGAAAGGGCUGCUAAUACUGGGUAUGCUUGUGGCCUCGCAUGGGGCUAUGAGCAAAGGGGAAACCCGCCUUGAGAUGGGCCCGCGUCCCAUCAGCUAGUUGGUGAGGUAACAGCUCACCAAGGCGACGACGGGUAGCCGGCCUGAGAGGGUGACCGGCCACACUGGGACUGAGACACGGCCCAGACUCCUACGGGGGGCAGCAGUGGGGGAUCUUGCACAAUGGGCGAAAGCCUGAUGCAGCGACGCCGCGUGAGCGAAGAAGGCCUUCGGGUUGUAAAGCUCUGUCUGGAGGGACGAAGGAAGUGACGGUACCUCCGGAGGAAGCCACGGCUAACUACGUGCCAGCAGCCGCGGUAAGAGUGUGU
RNAcentral lists this ribosomal RNA (499 nucleotides) under uncultured bacterium. Its description in RNAcentral is "bacterial SSU rRNA". It matches the Rfam family "Bacterial small subunit ribosomal RNA", at positions 28 to 532 of the family's 1533-position model. The record is from RNAcentral.